RNAcentral lists this ribosomal RNA (467 nucleotides) under uncultured bacterium. RNAcentral describes it as "partial 16S ribosomal RNA". It matches the Rfam family "Bacterial small subunit ribosomal RNA", at positions 29 to 507 of the family's 1533-position model. The record is from RNAcentral.
ACGCACGCUGGCGGCGUGCUUCACACAUGCCAGUCGCACGGAAAGGCCCUGCUUUUGUGGGGUGCUCGAGUGGCGAACGGGUGAGUAACACGUGAGUAACCUGCCCUUGACUUUGGGAUAACUUCAGGAAACUGGGGCUAAUACCGGAUAGGAGCUCCUGCUGCAUGGUGGGGGUUGGAAAGUUUCGGCGGUUGGGGAUGGACUCGCGGCUUAUCAGCUUGUUGGUGGGGUAGUGGCUUACCAAGGCUUUGACGGGUAGCCGGCCUGAGAGGGUGACCGGCCACAUUGGGACUGAGAUACGGCCCAGACUCCUACGGGAGGCAGCAGCGGGGAAUAUUGCACAAUGGGCGGAAGCCUGAUGCAGCAACGCCGCGUGCGGGAUGACGGCCUUCGGGUUGUAAACCGCUUUCGCCUGUGACGAAGCGUGAGUGACGGUAAUGGGUAAAGAAGCACCGGCUAACUACGUG